GCUAUGCCAUGUCCAAAGUGUUACAGUAUAUGUGGAUUGCCCUAGCCCUUUCCAUCAGUUCUGACUUUUGGUUGCGUUGGCUAGUGCAUGAAGCUUAACAUGGUAUCGGAGCUAAGCGCAAUUUAUUAAAAAUUGCUGGUAGCCCCCCUUUGUAUCCACGUAGAGGCCUCUUGAGUCAUACGUGAGUUCCGCGCGCCGUCGCUCUCUUCCGGUUGCACACGUUGACUUGUCUUCCCCGUCACACGUGAGAGGGGGUGUUACAGUAUAUGUGGAUUGCACUAGCCCUUUCCAUCAGUUCGGACUUUUGGUUGCGUUGGCUAGUGCGUGAAGCUUAACACAAGGCACCGCCUCGCUUUAUGCUUUAAGUGAUUAAGAGUGAGUAGUGUGUAGUACUGCGGGGACAUGAGCCAUGAUUAUCUGACUAUUCUAUGCAAGACACAAUACGUCUUCUUAUGCAAAAAAGCAAACUAUACAGAUUUCAGUAAUUUAUAUCUAUACAAUAAUAAAAAGACCCUAAGGGGUAGAUCCAACUANNN
This 536-nucleotide long non-coding RNA is filed under the name Hordeum vulgare. RNAcentral describes it as "long non-coding RNA (HVUL_LNC021451)". The record is from RNAcentral. Lineage: Eukaryota; Viridiplantae; Streptophyta; Magnoliopsida; Poales; Poaceae.